UACGUAGGGUGCAAGCGUUAAUCGGAAUUACUGGGCGUAAAGCGUGCGCAGGCGGUUUAGUAAGACAGGCGUGAAAUCCCCGGGCUCAACCUGGGAACUGCGCUUGUGACUGCUAGGCUAGAGUACGGCAGAGGGGGGUGGAAUUCCACGUGUAGCAGUGAAAUGCGUAGAGAUGUGGAGGAACACCGAUGGCGAAGGCAGCCCCCUGGGCCGAUACUGACGCUCAUGCACGAAAGCGUGGGGAUCAAACAGG
Molecule: ribosomal RNA, 253 nt
Filed under: uncultured bacterium
Lineage: Bacteria
Description: partial 16S ribosomal RNA
Rfam family: Bacterial small subunit ribosomal RNA
Source: RNAcentral